GCUUCUAUAUUUAUAUAGUGUGGGCUUAUGCUUAUUUGGAAUGGGCUAGGCUUGGAUGGAGAAGUCCAUGGAUACUCCAUGGAGCUUUAACCCAUGGAUCUCAUAGAAAUGAAGAGACAUGGGUAUUAGGGUUUACAUGGAUGUAACCCUAAUCCACCACACUAUAUAAAGGAGGCUUUGGCUCUUGAAAUCACACUAGUUGACACAUGUUGAGGUGAGGGCCGAUUUCAAGAGAAGUGUGACUAUUCUCUCAAAGUUCCAAGUUUGUGGUGAUUUGUGACUUUCAUUUGAGGCAUCCACAUUAUUGGUGCUAGGCUCUAAAACUCCAAGGAAUCAACUACAACUACAAGGUAAGUGUUUCUACUAGCUUUAUUUGAUUCAAGUUCCCCAUGCCAUGCUAGUUAGGAUAUAAGCCUUGGAAAAAUAAUUAUUUGCAUGUAUCUUAGACAAACAUAGAUCCAAGGUUUAUUAGGGUUGCAUGUACACUUAGGAAGUGUUAGAAUGCUCAAAACCCAUCAGUGGUAUCAGAGCCUAGGUCUGUUUGUUUGAUACUUGUGAUUAAAAGUUGGAAAAAGUCGAAAAACUUGCUGUCUGACGAAUGGACUCGGCGAGUCCAUGGGGGGACUCGUCGAGUUCACUUGUAUCUUCAACCUACUCGGCGAGUAGGUUCAUGCACUCGGCGAGUAGGGUCGACAGAGUGCAGAUUUUCGACUUUAGUUGCUGGAAAUGGAUUGGAAACAUUACCCUAAACUGUUUUGGUACUUGAAAACUUGUUUUAGCUGGUGUAAUGUUUUUGCUAAUUCAUUUACAACAACUAGUUAUCAAAAUUACAAAGUUUAAUGUGAUUUUGAUUCUUGAAAGUGUUCAUAUUCAUGUUCUUGUUCUUAUGAAGUUUAGAUGAUCAUAGGAAUUAUUUGUAACCUAUGUGGUAGUUUAAUUCUUGAUCAUAAUGUGUUUUAAUGGAGUCCAUAACUUGUCCUCAAGUUAUGGAAAACCAAAAGUCUCUUGGAUUAAAAACCAUUAAAAGAACACAAGAGUUAGAAAAAAUGAAAAGUCCUCAUUUUAUUACUCUAUUAAACUCAUAAGUUACAAGAAAUGAAAAGUUUUGAAAGUUUACAAAACUUGCCCUCAAGUUUUGGAACAAGUAAAGUUAAGUUAAAACUUUAGUUCCAACCCCUAGAAUUUUAAAAGUUAAAAUUCAACCCUUAUACUUAUAUUAUUAUGAUUUAAUAAUUAUAUAUAUAUGUAUAAGAACAAAGUCGUCUUACCGCUAGUACGCCUCAUUCACGAAGCCGGUCUAUAAGGUGGGUAUAAGGUUGUUGCCUAUAAAAUGGUGACUUAAUGGGUGUCCACUCUCACCCACCGCUUGCUUGAUCGGUGGAGGGUCGUUAGCCGAACGGGUAAGACAAGGACUUAUUAAUUCUCAUUCAAAGUAUGAUGAAUAUUAUAAAGUAACUAAAUGUUUUAUUAAAUUCCCAAUCUUAGUUACUUUAGGAAAAAUGUGAAUAAGGUGCUAUUCCAUGAAAUUACACUUUACACUUUGAUUAAGUCGUUGGUGGAGCGUGUGUGGUUAACCGGCACACUAACUUGGACUUAACAAGGUAGGUAAAGGGUGACUUAGGGUUUAUUAUAGUAUCGAUGGAGCGUGUGUGGUUAACCGGCACAUCGAUUGAGUGAUAAACUUUAAGGGUACCAAGUGAUUUGCAUGGUUACUUCACACCUCGUUUUGUGAUCCUCGGUAUCCCAGUCACAAAACUUGGAGGGCACACUCGAGAUUGAAACAUGCCUUUGAAAAGUUCAUUGAAUCUCAAAGAAUCUAGGAAUUUCUAAGAACCAUUCAAAAACCUAAUACUAAAAUAUUGCGGUUUUCGUGGUGGAAAUUGGUGAAUCGUCAUUCACCUACCUUUCAAAUAUGAUAUAGCUUAGAUUACGGCAUACCUCUUCUAAGUUAUAUUAUAUUGUGAUUGGAUCCUAGCCUUAAUAUUACAUUUGGGUGUUUUAUUAAGGACUCUCUUAUAUCUAAACUAAUCUUGUCCUCUUUCCUUCAGAUGUCUUUCAACAAUGCUUCUGGCUCUAAUCCUAAUGGCUCCUUUACCCUUAUGAACUUGUGUGGGAAAGUCACCUUUGAUGGAUCCAACUUCAAUGAGUGGAUCAGAAACAUCAGGAUGAUUACCCGCUACGAGGACAAAGAAUAUGUCCUUGACAAGGAGCUUAAGGAGAUUGAUGAGUCCACUGCAACUCCUCAGGAGAUCGCUGAAUUUCGGGCACAUGAAAGGGAUGCUACGAAAGUGGCUUGCAUCAUGAUGGCCACGAUGACAGCGGAACUCCAAAAGUCUUAUGAGGAUUUCUACCCUUAUGACAUGCACCAAGAUUUGAUGGAAAGAUACCAUCAAAGUGCAAGACAAGAGAGGUAUGAAAUCAUCUGCUCCAUGAUAACAACCAUGAUGAAGGACGGGGAAUCCGUCACGAGCCACAUGCAGAAAAUGCAAAGGUAUGUGGAUCGUUUGCUGAAGCUUAAUGUGAACUUCCCGGAGGAUCUUGCAAUAGAUAUUAUUUUGCAUUCCUUACCAUCGUGCUAUGAUCAAUUCCGCAUGACAUAUCACAUGAACAAGGAAGAAGUCACCCUCAGCAAACUUCAGGGACUUCUCAAGACCGCAGAAACAGGUCUUAAGGGGAAGUCGGUUGCUAUCACUCCUACUCAAAACUCUACUCCGGUUUUGGCAAUCGGGAAAAGUCGAGGGAGGAAGAGAAAGAGCUCUUCUAAGGGUACCAAGGCUCGGACCCUUGAUGGCUCUUCUUCAAGUGGAACCAAGAAAGGUUUCGUUACUCCUUCUUCUGACCCAAAAGAGGCUGAAUGCUUCUAUUGCCAUGAAAAAGCUCAUUGGAAGCGGAACUGCCCAAAAUACCAGCAAGAUGUGAAGGAUGGGAAAGUUAAACCCAACCAUGCAGGUAUUUACACUAUCAUUUCUAAUAACUCACCCCAUUCUAAUUCUUGGGUCCUUGAUACCGGGUGUGGUAUUCACAUUUGUUGUGACUUGCAGGGACUAAGAAGAAGUGAGGAUGUGGAGCAAGGAAGGAUAAACUUGAUCAUGGGGAAUAGGAAAGCUAUACCUGUUACCAAGAUUGGAGUUUAUACUUUAUCGCUAAGUAGUGGGUUUAGUUUAGAUUUGAAUAAGUGUUGUUAUUCGCCAGGAAUGGCAAGAAAUAUUAUUUCCUUUCAUGCUUUGUACAAACAAGGGUUUACCUUUUCAUUUAAUAAUGAAGUUGGUUCUAUAGAUGUUUUCUAUAAUAAUGUCUUUUAUUUUAAAGCAUUACCUUGUGAUGGUGUGUAUGAAGCUGUAUCUGUUGUAGAUAACUUGGGAAAUAAUGUUUUGUGUAUUGAUUCUACUAAUAAUAACUUGGAUAAAGCAUCUUUAUGGCAUUGUCGUCUUGGACAUAUAAGCAAGAAACGCAUAGGCCAACUCCAAAAGGAUGGAGUCUUGGAGUCGUUUGACCUAAAGUCAGAUGAUAGUUGCGAAUCAUGCUUACUUGGAAAAAUGACAAAGUCACCCUUCACAGGUUCGUGUGAGAGGGGUGAAGGUUUGUUGGACCUUAUACACACGGAUGUGUGUGGACCAUUCAAACAUGCCACAAGGGAUGCUAAUCGUUAUUAUUUGACUUUUACUGAUGAUUAUAGUAGAUAUGGAUAUGUCUACUUGAUCAAGCAUAAGUCAGAGACUUUCGAGAGGUUUAAGGAAUUUAAACAGGAAGUCGAGAAUCAAUUGGGCAGGAACAUUAAGAUGCUUCGAUCCGAUCGUGGUGGUGAGUAUCUUAGUUCAGAGUUCCUCGACUAUCUAAGGGAAUGUGGGAUAGUCUCACAAUUGACACCUCCCAGGACACCACAGUUGAAUGGUGUGGCUGAGAGGCGUAAUCGAACCUUGUUAGAUAUGGUUCGUUCCAUGAUGAGUCGAGCUACGCUACCAAUCUCAUUCUGGGGGUAUGCCUUAGAGACUGCCGCCCAUAUUCUUAAUCUAGUCCCUACAAAGAAAGUUGCCAAAACUCCUCACGAGAUGUGGACUGGUAAAGUACCUAAACUAGACCACAUCAAGAUUUGGGGUUGCGAGGCUUUCGUGAGACGCGAGACUCAUGAUAAGCUCGAACCUCGAAGCGAGAGGUGUAUUUUCAUCGGUUACCCACAGCGAUCCUUUGGUUACCUCUUCUACAGACCUAGUGACAAUGUGGUCUUUGUAGCAAGAAGAGGAGUCUUUCGAGAAAGAGAGUUUAUAAGCCAAGGAGACAGUGGGAGGCAAAUUGAUCUUGAAGAAAUUCAAGAAUCAAGCGGUGAAGGAACUUCAAACUCUAGCCCUCAACUUGAGGAGGAAACUCCUGUUGAGCCAAUUGACAAAUCUGUACCUCUGAGACGUUCCACGAGAGUUAGGAGUGCACCUGAGCAUUACUAUGGAUUCCAUAUUACUGCAGAAGGUGAGACACUUAUUAGUGAUGAGACACUAGUAAGUCAAGAUGACCCUAACAGCUACGAGGAAGCCAUGGCAGGCCCCGAGUCUGCUAAAUGGAAAGAGGCUAUGGAUAGCGAGAUACAAUCCAUGUAUGACAAUCAAGUUUGGAACUUGGUUGAAAAUGUACCAGGUCGUAAGACAGUAGGGUGCAAAUGGGUCUUCAAGAAGAAGACCGACAUGGAUGGUAAAGUACACACUUAUAAGGCUAGACUGGUUGCAAAGGGCUUCUCUCAAAUUCCUGGAGUGGAUUAUGAUGAGACCUUUUCUCCGGUAGCCAAGAUUAAGUCUAUUCGGGUUCUGUUAGCCAUAGCUGCAUUUCAUGACUAUGAAAUAUGGCAGAUGGAUGUCAAAACCGCUUUCCUUAAUGGAAAGUUGGCUGAAGAUGUUUACAUGAGUCAGCCAGAGGGUUUUGUCAGCAACGAGUACCCUAAUAGAGUGUGUAAGCUUGAGAAAUCCAUUUAUGGAUUGAAGCAAGCACCUCGCAGAUGGAAUCUUUGCUUUGAUGAAAAGGUCAAGGAAUUUGGCUUUUCUAGGAGUGAAGAUGAAUCUUGUGUGUAUGUCAAGGCUAGUGGGAGUAUAGUUAGCUUUUUGGUAUUGUAUGUGGAUGACAUACUACUCAUAGGAAACGACAUUCCAACCCUGCAGGAAGUAAAGUCCUGGCUUGGGAAGUGUUUCGCUAUGAAGGACCUUGGUGAAGCUGCCUAUAUUCUAGGGAUAAGAAUCUUGAGAGAUCGGAGUAAAAGACUAAUUGGACUUAGUCAGAGUACCUACUUGGAUAAGGUGCUGAAGAGAUUCAGCAUGCAGGAUUCCAAGAAAGGAGAGUUACCCAUCCAGAGUAACACCAGAUUGAGUAAGACACAAAGCCCUAGCACUGAGGCUGAGAUAGCAGAAAUGAGUCGAACACCUUACGCUUCGGCUGUAGGAUCGAUCAUGUAUGCUAUGACGUGUACUCGACCCGAUGUAGCUUUUGCCUUGAGCAUGGUUAGCAGGUAUCAGGCGAACCCUGGCAAGGCACACUGGACUGCGGUAAAGAAUAUCCUCAAGUACCUACGGAGGACUAAGGACUGGGUCCUUACCCUCGGUGGGAGUGAUGACUUGAGAGUUGUAGGGUAUAGUGAUGCUAGCUUCCAGACUGAUAGGGAUAAUUUCCGCUCUCAGUCGGGCUGGGUCUUUACCCUAAACGGAGGAGCAAUUUCUUGGAAGAGUUCCAAGCAAGAGACAGUGGCAGAUUCUACUUGUGAAUCAGAGUAUAUUGCAGCUAGUGAAGCAGCAAAGGAGGCGAUAUGGCUGAAGAACUUCAUUGGAGACCUUGGAGUUGUACCAGCUAUUAAAGAGCCAAUGGAAAUUUUCUGUGAUAGUGAAAGUGCUGUUGCCUUAGCCAAGGAACCAAGGGAUCAUGGGAGAUCCAGACACAUCGACAGAAAAUACCAUUUCAUUAGACAUCGGAUCGAAGAAGGACUCCUCGUGGCAAAGAGGGUAUCAUCGGAUGAGAACCCAGCAGAUCCCCUCACGAAGGGACUGAGUAGGGUUAAGCAUCUCCAGCAUGCUCGGAGCAUAGGGCUGAAGGAUGAUAUAAGUUUUAGUAGUUAGAUAACCCAGAAAUUUGUAAAGUGUAAUUGACAUUUGAUGAUGAAUAAAAGGUGUUUUAUUUAUGAGUAAAGUGUUGCUAUCUCUUGUCGAUCGUUUACUAUAUUUCUUUUGCAUGUUUUGACUUCCAGAAUAAUUUUGUUUGGUAUAACAUAUUAUUCAAACCUCCACAGUCGGUCAUAUGUUGGAAGUAGAUAUGAAUCAAGACUGUCAUGUUUGGUUGUAGAGGUCUUGGACAAGGCUACAACAAUCAUGAGUGCUCAUAAGUUCUGAGCAUUGGACUCAACCCACGCUCACUGGAAUCACUUCAUGGAAUUCUAUCUCGAGUGAUCGUGAGACGGUAAUAUCAUAUAAGUCUUCAAACCUAGAGAUAUGAUUUGUUACUUACAAGUUGGUUAUGCAUUGACUGUACGAAACCGCAUUGGUAACUCGAUGUUAUAAAACGUACUUUUGUGUGUAAUUCAAUGAGUGGUAGAACAAACAUAUGAGUCGAAGUUUAUCUGUUCCUUCUUGGAUUAGAAGCUGAUAUCUGGGCCCCUCGAUGAUUUUGUUUUGACCCAUGUACCGGGCCCGGUCAGAACUAAGUUGAUGUGUUCAAUUAAGUUCUAUGUCAAACAAAUCGGAAAUCGGGAAACAAAUGCUGGACAAUAAGCAAGACAAUGUUCCAUGUAUUUGUCCGGCUGAUAUCUAGAACGGAGGAUUAUAUGAUCACUUAUCUUAAAUGGCGUACCAUCAUCUUCUCAGUUCCGAGAGACCUUGAAAGAGCUACGAUUGCCGGUCGGUUCCUGAAGUACUAGAGAUAUAGUUAUUAGACUUAUCCAAGUGGGAGACUGUUGGAUAAGGUGUCUAAGUCCAUAACUAUUUCGGGCUUGUACUUGACCCGACCCGGCAUGGUCCAUUUGGGUUGCAUGGCACCAUGCAAUUGGAUAGACUAAAUGAGAGAAAUAACACUUGGAGAUUAUUAAUAUAUUAUAAGUUCUAAUAUAUUAAUAAUAUUAUUUGAUUAGUUGAUCAAAGAAUUAAUUUGGAAUUAAUUAAGUGAUCAAAGGAUAACUAAUUAAAUAUAUGGGUUGAUUAUGUAAAUCAUCCAUAUCUUGUAUAGUGGGCUAAGAGGCUCCAUGGAUUAUCAAGUUGGGUUCUACCCAUAGGAUGCUCCAUGGAUGCUCCAUGGGAGUUACAAACCCAUGGGUCAUGGAAAUGAAGAGUCAUGACACAUUAGGGUUUACAUGGUGUAACCCUAGAUGUGCCAACACUAUAUAAGAGUCCCAUUCUCCACAAAAUUGGCUACACAAGUUGAACACUAAGAAACUAGAGGGCUUGGCCGAUUUUGAGAAGUGUGUGUUAUCUCAAGAGUCUUUCCAAGAGCAUUUGGUGUUGUGUGAAGCAUUUGAGGCAUCACACUUGGGGUGCUAGGCUCACAAGGUUUCAAGGAACACAAGCAACAACAAGGUAAGUUAUUCUAUCUAUGAUUCAAGUUAAAAUUGUUCCCCAUGUAUGCUAGAUAGGAAUAUAACCUUGGAAUUCAACUUUGCAUGAUAAUUAGACAAACAUAGAUCCAAGGUUAUUAGGGUUGCAUGUACACUUAGGAAGUGUUAGAAUGCUCAAAACCCAUCAGUGGUAUCAGAGCCUAGGCUUGUUUGUUUGUUAUUUGUGCUUAAAAGUUGAAGAAAGUCGAAAAUUCUGCUGUCUGACUGAUGGACUCGGCGAGUCCAUGGGGAGGACUCGUCGAGUUCAUGUGUAUCUUCAACCUACUCGGCGAGUAGGUUUAUGCACUCGGCGAGUAGGGUCGACAGAGUGCAGAAUUUCGACUUGAGUUGCUGGAAAUGGAUUAGAAUCAUUACCCUAAAAUGUUUUGGUACUUGAAAACUUAUUUUAGAAGGUGUAAUGUCUUUUCUAACUCAUUUACAACAACUAGUUAUCAAAAUUACAAAGAUUAAAUGUGAUUUUGAUUCUUGAAAGUGUUCAUAUUCAUAUUCUUGUUCUUAUGAUGUUUAGAUGAUCAUAGGAAUUAUUUGUAACCUAUGUGGUAGAUUAAUUCAUGAUCAUAAUGUGUUUUAAUGGAGUCCAUAACUUGUCCUCAAGUUAUGGAAAACCAAAAGUCUCUUGGAUUAAAAACCAUUAAAAGAACACAAGAGUUAGGAAAAAUGAAAAGUCCUCAUUUUAUUACUCUAUUAAACUCAUAAGUUACAAGAAAUGAAAAGUUUUGAAAGUUUACAAAACUUGCCCUCAAGUUUUGGAACAAGUAAAGUUAAGUUAAAACUUUAGUUCCAACCCCUAGAAUUUUAAAAGUUAAAAUUCAACCCUUAUACUUAUAUUAUUAUG
RNAcentral lists this long non-coding RNA (8405 nucleotides) under Lactuca sativa (garden lettuce). RNAcentral's name for it is "long non-coding RNA (LSAT_LNC002913)". Lineage: Eukaryota; Viridiplantae; Streptophyta; Magnoliopsida; Asterales; Asteraceae. The record is from RNAcentral.